AUAACAGUUAGAAAUGACUGCUAAUACCGCAUAAGCGCACAGGAUUGCAUGAUCUGGUGUGAAAAACUCCGGUGGUAUAAGAUGGACCCGCGUCUGAUUAGCUGGUUGGUGAGGUAACGGCCCACCAAGGCGACGAUCAGUAGUCGACCUGAGAGGGUGACCGGCCACAUUGGGACUGAGACACGGCCCAAACUCCUACGGGAGGCAGCAUG
This 212-nucleotide ribosomal RNA is filed under the name uncultured bacterium. Its description in RNAcentral is "partial 16S ribosomal RNA". It matches the Rfam family "Bacterial small subunit ribosomal RNA", at positions 143 to 353 of the family's 1533-position model. The record is from RNAcentral.